Molecule: long non-coding RNA, 416 nt
Organism: Helianthus annuus (common sunflower)
Lineage: Eukaryota; Viridiplantae; Streptophyta; Magnoliopsida; Asterales; Asteraceae
Exons: 3
Source: RefSeq, a predicted model, not a curated record
UUGAAAUAAUUUGUUGGAUACAUUUACUUUUAGGCUUUAAUUAAAAAAAAGCCCCAUUAGACAAUAAAGAAAUAGGUAAACAGCUCAUUAUCUUCAUGUUGAUCUCCAAGUCCAACUGUUGCCGGUGCAUCAAAAAAGAAAUCAGUUUGACGCUUGGCAAGCAAGGUGGAAGCUUGGGAAGAAGCGGGUCAAACGGAUCAAAUAUGCGAAAAAGCAUAAUUUGAUGCAAGGUAAUAAUUUGAAGUAUCGGACGACGAUCAAGCUCAACAAAGAACCGGACACGAUCAAAGUUCAAGUUUCCGCAUUACAAUUAGUCGUUUACAAAAAUAAUCAACGAUAACAUGCUGAAAUGUUUUAACUUUUAUGAACUUUUAUUAAACCCGAAACUUUGUAUGAACGUGUAUUUCAUUUCUUUU